This is a long non-coding RNA of Taeniopygia guttata (zebra finch), 2284 nucleotides long. The record is from Ensembl. Lineage: Eukaryota; Metazoa; Chordata; Aves; Passeriformes; Estrildidae.
CAGCUACACGACAGCUGUCCUUUCAAUAUUUGCACUGAAGCAGUAAGGAUGUAAGGAGAACAGCAGCUCUCUUCACUACCAGGGCUUGGUUUCUUGGUCUUCAGCACACCAACACUGUGCAGGCCUCCAAGUCCUAGUUUGGGAGCUCAGUAUCCUAAAGAAUUAAAAUGGCAAGGAAUUAUCAUUUAAAUACAACAGUGAGUGGGGAGGAGAGAGAAAGCAAAAUACUGUGAAAGGUCUUGAUGUUGUGAGGAUAGUAGCAGUGGACAAUGGGGAAUAAACAUUUGCUGGGCUUUCUGCCACUGGCUGGCUUGUGUACAAGCUUGGCUAAACUUUCAUUCAUGUGGACAAGAUACUGCAGUAACUUCAGCUUUGAGUCUCUUGAUUGAGGCUUCAUCCAAGCAUUCUAUUCUCAAGAGCAGAAAUGUUAGUGCUGCUUGGAACGCCAGCUCUGUCAGGAAGUUUCAGGUAAGGUAUGAAAAUGAUGUUACUGUUCUAGAUCAGCAUCACCUUUCAAUUUCUUAUUACUUCCAUACUUCAAAUAGACCUUGGAGUCACUGGGAAGUAGCAGGUACAAGGUGGUGGUAGCUUUUGUGGAGUUCGUUGUUUCACAUUGAGUUACACCAUUGGCUGCACUAGAACAAAUAAUCAUAGUUGUAAUUUGUAGUCAUCAGAAAUAUGUCUUUUCUUCUUUAGCUGAUAGUAAUGCAAAACCUACUGUGGCUUGACACAUUUGCGAUACACAUGAACUUUGUAUUUUAUCUUGGACGUGAAAAAGGCUGAUACUGUCAGGUCUUUCCUCAAGGCAAAGACAGCAACUCAGCUCUCUUCUCACAGUACAGAAUUGAUUUAGAUUUCCCUUCCUUAAAAUCUAAUUAAUGCUUUCCACCUUGGAGCAUCUCCACCCUAGGAAGGAUUGCAAGGUACAACAAAAAGUAAACAUUAUGUAGAUAAAUAAAUAUGGAUUUACAUCAACAUAGCUGGGAUAAAGAGGUGUUAUAAUUUCUAAAUCUGUUGUUAAAAAGAGUGAAUGAUCAUGCAGACAAAUGAGGUCUGGAUAAUAUACUUAAUUUUAGGAAAUAUUUGGGAAGUUCUUUCUCAAAAAGCCUUGGCUCGUGCUCUCUUAGUCACUCCAGGAAGAUGACUCUAUGAGGAUUAAUAACAGACCAUUAAUUCUCUAUUCUGUGUCUUAUCUUUUCACCAGUUUUCACAAUGGAGAGAAGUUACUAGCACUGUCAUCUAGAGAUUUAUAGGGCUGGAUCUGGAAAUGGAAAUCAUAGGAAAGUGAAAAAUGUGAGGAAUAUUCGGCUAAUUUUGGAACCCCAGGUUGAUUGUAAAAUGGGGUGUUGUGCUUAGUGUAAAGCAUUUCCAGUUUUAUGUGUGCCUACAAGUGCAACAGACUAUAAAAUAGCUGCUUGUCUGUCAGAAAGAGCUUGGAAUCAUCCUGGUUAGUGUUCAGAAGACAGCAGGAGUGAUUAAAAAGACAAUGCUGAGAGCUGAAGCCAAACUCACAAACCAUCUGUGGCACUGUAGAUCCAGUACGGGAGCUGCUCACCCGUGCUGUCCAGAGCAGUGAUGUGUGGGUGGCUUUGCCAGUCCUCUGAGGACGUGAGGUGGAGCUUUGGCAAAGAUACCAGAGGAGAGCCUGCUUUGUCUUGCAUUAUCCCAUCAUAUACAGAAAGUAAUUUUUCAGUAUGCUAACAUCAGCUGAAUAUUUGAACUGAAUCAAAAAAAGGAGGAGUGGAAAUAAUGAAAAGAGAUGGUGAUCAGAAUUUAACUCUGCUGGAAGAGCUACAGAAAUUCUUCACACAGACUUUCUUUCUUUUCCCAGCCAUUCUGUCUUUUCUUAAACAUAUUUAAUAAAGGGUAUUUGUCAAUCUAACAUUGCUUCUGUUCCAAGACUAGGGCACCUCUCCCACAAAUGAAUUCAAUAAUCUCAAAGAAACUGAAUUUUGUUAAUUCAGGUAUCUAUUAUUUUUCCUAAACAAGAGUGAGUUCACAAAGUAAAAACUAUUCCUGCUAAACUAAUCCACAGUCCAAGACAAAGUGAUUUCUGAGAAGCACUUAAAGUAAAAUAAGCCAUGUGUGUUUUGCAGUUAGAAGCCAUUUUCUUUUCCUUUCAAGAUGAAUUUUAAGAAGAAUAAAAAGUGACAGCUUACAUUCGGUUUUUGUGUAGGGUAGCACUUGAAAAUGUGACUAUUUCUAUAUACACUAUGUGUCCUGAGACAUUUGAUCAAUGAAAUAAAAUUAUCUAAUCCAUCCCUAUUAAAAAUCUUAAACAAAA